RNAcentral lists this ribosomal RNA (476 nucleotides) under uncultured bacterium. Its description in RNAcentral is "bacterial SSU rRNA". It matches the Rfam family "Bacterial small subunit ribosomal RNA", at positions 27 to 518 of the family's 1533-position model. The record is from RNAcentral.
GGACGAACGCUGGCGGCGUGCCUAACACAUGCAAGUCGAACGGAGUCAAAAAGCUUGCUUUUGACUUAGUGGCGGACGGGUGAGUAACGCGUGAGUAACCUGCCUCUGAGAGGGGAAUAACGUUCUGAAAAGAACGCUAAUACCGCAUGAUGUAUCGAAGCCACAUGACUUUGAUACCAAAGAUUUUAUCGCUCGGAGACGGACUCGCGUCCGAUUAGUUAGUUGGUGAGGUAACGGCUCACCAAGACCGCGAUCGGUAGCCGGACUGAGAGGUUGAUCGGCCACAUUGGGACUGAGACACGGCCCAGACUCCUACGGGAGGCAGCAGUGGGGGAUAUUGCGCAAUGGGGGCAACCCUGACGCCAGCAACGCCGCGUGAAGGAUGAAGGUUUUCGGAUUGUAAACUUCUUUUAUCAGGGACGAAGCUUGACGGUACCUGAUGAAUAAGCUCCGGCUAACUACGUGCCAGCCGCAGC